UACAGAGGUCUCAAGCGUUGUUCGGGUUCAUUGGGCGUAAAGGGUGCGUAGGCGGCGCGGUAAGUCGGGUGUGAAAUCUCGGAGCUUAACUCCGAAACUGCAUUCGAUACUGCCGUGCUUGAGGACUGGAGAGGAGACUGGAAUUUACGGUGUAGCGGUGAAAUGCGUAGAUAUCGGGAGGAACACCAGUGGCGAAGGCGGCUUCCUGGCCUGUUCUUGACGCUGAGGCGCGAAAGCUAGGGGAGCAAACGGG
Molecule: ribosomal RNA, 253 nt
Filed under: uncultured bacterium
Lineage: Bacteria
Description: partial 16S ribosomal RNA
Rfam family: Bacterial small subunit ribosomal RNA
Source: RNAcentral